RNAcentral lists this ribosomal RNA (293 nucleotides) under uncultured bacterium. Its description in RNAcentral is "partial 16S ribosomal RNA". It matches the Rfam family "Archaeal small subunit ribosomal RNA", at positions 455 to 747 of the family's 1478-position model. The record is from RNAcentral.
GUGCCAGCCGCCGCGGUAAUACCGGCAGCCCAAGUGAUGGCCGAUCUUAUUGGGCCUAAAGCGUCCGUAGCUGGCUGCGCAAGUCCGUCGGGAAAUCCACUCGCUCAACGAGUGGGCGUCCGACGGAAACUGCACAGCUUGGGACCGGAAGGCUCGAAGGGUACGUCCGGGGUAGGAGUGAAAUCCCGUAAUCCUGGACGGACCGCCGGUGGCGAAAGCGCCUCGGGAGGACGGACCCGACGGUGAGGGACGAAAGCCAGGGUCUCGAGCCGGAUUAGAUACCCUUGUAGUCC